This 27-nucleotide small RNA is filed under the name Bombyx mori (domestic silkworm). RNAcentral describes it as "ovarian small RNA-1004". The record is from RNAcentral. Lineage: Eukaryota; Metazoa; Arthropoda; Insecta; Lepidoptera; Bombycidae.
GACAGAAUGGAGUUGAACAGCCGUGUC